AAUGGACCUGUGUAAGGAGGUGUGUGUGGGAGAAGAUUCCAGAAGGUCUUGAGACACUCCGUUGUGCUGCUGGAGCACCAGAGAGUGAAAGAGG
RNAcentral lists this long non-coding RNA (94 nucleotides) under Cebus imitator (Panamanian white-faced capuchin). Its description in RNAcentral is "T-cell leukemia/lymphoma 6 conserved region 1 (ENSCCAG00000007087.1)". It matches the Rfam family "T-cell leukemia/lymphoma 6 conserved region 1". Lineage: Eukaryota; Metazoa; Chordata; Mammalia; Primates; Cebidae. The record is from RNAcentral.